UAACAAGGUUUCCGUAGGUGAACCUGCGGAAGGAUCAUUGUCGAUGCCUGCCCAGCAGAACGACCCGCGAACUCGUGAAUGCUCUUGGGGGGGUCCGGUGCGGGUCGCUCGAGCUCCGCGAGCUCGGGCUGCCUUACCCGGCCCCCGCCCGUCGCGGGGGACGAGCCCCGUCUCGUUCCCCGCGGCGGAACAACAAACCCCGGCGCGAGCUGCGCCAAGGAAAAUCCAACGAGGGAGCACGCCGCCGCCGCCCCGGAAACGGUGCGCGUGCGGGACGCGUCGCCUUCUUGAAACGAAAAUACGAAACGACUCUCGGCAACGGAUAUCUCGGCUCUCGCAUCGAU
RNAcentral lists this unclassified non-coding RNA (344 nucleotides) under Guarea jamaicensis. Its description in RNAcentral is "sequence contains ITS1". Lineage: Eukaryota; Viridiplantae; Streptophyta; Magnoliopsida; Sapindales; Meliaceae. The record is from RNAcentral.